UACGUAGGUCCCGAGCGUUGUCCGGAUUUAUUGGGCGUAAAGCGAGCGCAGGUGGUUUAUUAAGUCUGGUGUAAAAGGCAGUGGCUCAACCAUUGUAUGCAUUGGAAACUGGUAGACUUGAGUGCAGGAGAGGAGAGUGGAAUUCCAUGUGUAGCGGUGAAAUGCGUAGAUAUAUGGAGGAACACCGGUGGCGAAAGCGGCUCUCUGGCCUGUAACUGACACUGAGGCACGAAAGCGUGGGGAGCAAAUAGG
RNAcentral lists this ribosomal RNA (252 nucleotides) under uncultured bacterium. Its description in RNAcentral is "partial 16S ribosomal RNA". It matches the Rfam family "Bacterial small subunit ribosomal RNA", at positions 524 to 776 of the family's 1533-position model. The record is from RNAcentral.